AUGCACGCUGGCGGCGUGCUUAACCCCUGCAAGUCGAACGGGAUCCAAGGGGUGCUUGCACUUUUUGGUGAGAGUGGCGAACGGGUGAGUAACACGUGAGUAACCUGUCCUUUUCUUUGGGAUAAGCAUUCGAAAGGGUGUUUAAUACCUUAUGUUCUGUCUGCCUCGCAUGGGGUGGGUGGGAAAGGCUUUGGCCGGAUUUGGGUGGGCUCGCGGUCUAUCAGCUUGUUGGUGGGGUGAUGGCUUACCAAGGCUUUGACGGGUAGCCGGCCUGAGAGGGUGGUCGGUCACAUUGGGACUGAGAUACGGCCCAGACUCCUGCGGGAGGCAGCAGUGGGGGAUAUUGCACAAUGGGCGAAAGCCUGAUGCAGCGACGCCGCGUGGGGGAUGAAGGCCUUCGGGUUGUAAACUUCUUUUGCUCUGAACAAGGCAUGCCAGUGGGUGUGUUGAGUGUAGGGGUUGAUUAGCGCCGGCUAACUACGUG
Molecule: ribosomal RNA, 484 nt
Filed under: uncultured bacterium
Lineage: Bacteria
Description: partial 16S ribosomal RNA
Rfam family: Bacterial small subunit ribosomal RNA
Source: RNAcentral